This 527-nucleotide ribosomal RNA is filed under the name uncultured bacterium. RNAcentral describes it as "bacterial SSU rRNA". It matches the Rfam family "Bacterial small subunit ribosomal RNA", at positions 95 to 606 of the family's 1533-position model. The record is from RNAcentral.
GCGGCGGAUGGGUGAGUAACACAUGGGCAACCUGCCUGUAAGAUUGGGAUAACUCGCGGAAACGUGAGCUAAUACCAAAUAAUCCUUUACAUCUCCUGAUGUUUAGGUAAAAGGCGGCAUUUUGCUGUCACUUACAGAUGGGCCCGUGGCGCAUUAGCUAGUUGGUGGGAUAAAAGCCUACCAAGGCAACGAUGCGUAGCCGACCUGAGAGGGUGAUCGGCCACACUGGGACUGAGACACGGCCCAGACUCCUACGGGAGGCAGCAGUAGGGAAUCUUCCGCAAUGGACGCAAGUCUGACGGAGCAACGCCGCGUGAGUGACGAAGGUCUUCGGAUCGUAAAACUCUGUUGUUAGGGAAGAACAAGUAUCGUUCGAAUAGGGCGGUACCUUGACGGUACCUAACCAGAAAGCCCCGGCUAACUACGUGCCAGCAGCCGCGGUAAUACGUAGGGGGCAAGCGUUGUCCGGAAUUAUUGGGCGUAAAGCGCGCGCAGGCGGUCCUUUAAGUCUGAUGUGAAAGCCCACG